AUGUUAAUCUUAGAUGAGGUUUACCAACUGUCAUCUCCAGAAGCCAAAAUUUUGAUACAGAAAGUCCAUGCUAUUGUGUUUUUCAUCUUGAAAUUAACUAUUUAUACACAUUCUCUGAGCACGAUAUUCACCUUUCCGUUUCAGCUUAUCGCAGGUCAAUCAUCUAGGUUACAAACCUGUUGUCUCUGUAUUCAUAUGCGCCUAUCAGUAUCUAUGCUGCUGCCAUCUUUGCUUCUAAGUCUGAUCUUUUUAUGCAUGUGCAGUGGCUGUAAUGGAUUUCAAUUGCUGUAA
This 291-nucleotide ribosomal RNA is filed under the name Triticum aestivum (bread wheat). RNAcentral describes it as "partial small subunit ribosomal RNA". Lineage: Eukaryota; Viridiplantae; Streptophyta; Magnoliopsida; Poales; Poaceae. The record is from RNAcentral.